GUAUAUUAAGUUGCUGCAGUUAAAAGCUCGUAGUUGGAUCUCGGGUGCAGGCUUGCGGUCCGCCUCGCGGCGGUCACUGCUCGCCCUGACCUCCAGGCCGGUGUCACCGUCCCUUGGUGCUCUUGAUUGAGUGUCUCGGGCGGCCGGUACGUUUACUUUGAAGAAAUUAGAGUGCUCAAAGCAGGCCCUUGUCGCCUGAAUAAUGGUGCAUGGAAUAAUGGAAUAGGACCUCGGUUCUAUUUUGUUGGCUCUCGGAGCUCGAGGUAAUGAUUAAUAGGGACUGACGGGGGCAUUCGUAUUGCGGCGCUAGAGGUGAAAUUCUUGGACCGUCGCAAGACGAACUACAGCGAAAGCAUUUGCCAAGCAUGUUUUCAUUAAUCAAGAACGAAAGUCAGAGGUUCGAAG
Molecule: ribosomal RNA, 405 nt
Filed under: Mya arenaria
Lineage: Eukaryota; Metazoa; Mollusca; Bivalvia; Myida; Myidae
Description: SSU rRNA
Rfam family: Eukaryotic small subunit ribosomal RNA
Source: RNAcentral